RNAcentral lists this ribosomal RNA (293 nucleotides) under uncultured bacterium. RNAcentral describes it as "partial 16S ribosomal RNA". It matches the Rfam family "Bacterial small subunit ribosomal RNA", at positions 775 to 1067 of the family's 1533-position model. The record is from RNAcentral.
GGAUUAGAUACCCUGGUAGUCCACGCCGUAAACGAUGUCUACUAGCCGUUGGGAACCUUGAGUUCUUAGUGGCGCAGCUAACGCGAUAAGUAGACCGCCUGGGGAGUACGGUCGCAAGAUUAAAACUCAAAUGAAUUGACGGGGGCCCGCACAAGCGGUGGAGCAUGUGGUUUAAUUCGAAGCAACGCGAAGAACCUUACCUACUCUUGACAUCCAGAGAACUUAGCAGAGAUGCUUUGGUGCCUUCGGGAACUCUGAGACAGGUGCUGCAUGGCUGUCGUCAGCUCGUGCCG